AAUGGAACAAUGUAGGCAAGGGAAGUCAGCAAAAUGGAUUCAUAACCUUGGGAAAAGAAUUGGCUCUAAGGGCUAGGCAUAGGGGUCCAAGUCCCGAACCCAUUGGCUGUCGGUGGACUGCUCGAGCUGCUAUCAUGGCGAGACGGGUCGCCCAUGCCGGUCGGGGGACAGAUUGGGAACAAGCCCUUUGGGGCCUCUUCCCCAAGUGUCGAACAGUCGACUCAGAACUGGUAUAGACAAGGGGAAUCCGACUGUUUAAUUAAAACAAAGCAUUGUGAUGGUCCCUGCGGAUGUUGACGUAAUGUGAUUUCUGCCUAGUGCUCUGAAUAUAAAAGUGAAGAAAUUCAACCAAGUUCAGGUAAACGGCAAGAAUAACUAUCACUCUCUUAAGGUAGCCAAAUGCCUCGUCAUCCAAUUAGUGACGCACAUGAAUGGAUUAACGAGAUUCCAAUUGUCCUUGUCUACUAUCCAACGAAACCACAACCAAGGGAACGAGCUUGGUGGAAUUAGCAGCGAAAGAAGACCAUGUUGAGCUUGACUCUAGUCCGACUUUGUGAGAUGACUUGAGAGGUGUAGGAUAAGUGGGAGCUGGAAACAGCGGAAGUGAAAUACCACUACUUUUGGACCCAAGGUCGGCCUUGAUUGGUCGAUCCGGACGGAAGACAUUGUUAGGUGGGGAGUUUAGCUGGGGUGGCACAUCUAUUAAAAUAUAACACAGGUGUCCUAAGAUGAGCUCAACGAGAACAGAAAUCUCGCGUGGCAUAAAAGGGUAAAAGCUCGUUUGAUUUUGAUUUCCAAUACAAAUACGAACCGUGAAAGCGUGGCCUAUCGAUCCUUUAGUCCUUUGGAAUUUGAAGAUAGAGGUGUCAGAAAAGUUACCACAAGGAUAAUUGGCUUGUGGCAUCUAGGCGUUCAUAGUGAUGUUGCUUUUUGAUCCUUCGAUGUCGGCUCUACCUAUCAUUGUGAAGUAGAAUUCACCAAGUGUUGGAUUGUUCACCAACCAAUAGGGAACGUGAGCUGGGUUUAGACCAUCGUGAGAUAGGUUAGUUUUACCUUACUGAUGACAGUGUCGCAAUAGUAAUUCAACCUAGUACGAGAGGAAUUGUUGAUUCGCACAAUUGGUCAUCGCGCUUAGUUGAAAAGCCAGUGGCGUGAAGCUAUCAUGCAUUGGAUUAUGAUGGAACGCCUCUAAGUCAAAAUUCGGUCUAGAAGCGAUGUCUAUGCCCGUCGCCCGUUUGCCAACCAGAAGUAGGGGGCCUCGGCCCCCCAGAGGCACGUGUCGUUGAUGACCCCCUCAGGGUGGACGAGUCUCGCAGGACGCCUAGAAGCGCUAUUCCCCACUGCCACGAUCCAUUGAGAUUCAGCCCUUGUCGCUUCAAUUC
Ribosomal RNA from Lupinus angustifolius (narrow-leaved blue lupine), 1382 nucleotides. It matches the Rfam family "Eukaryotic large subunit ribosomal RNA", at positions 1889 to 3399 of the family's 3401-position model. NCBI's taxonomy places the organism in Eukaryota, Viridiplantae, Streptophyta, Magnoliopsida, Fabales, Fabaceae. The record is from Rfam.